UUACGUCCAUAUCAUGUUGAAACCCCAGUUUUCGUACGAUCACCGAAGUUAAGCAAUGUCGAGCCUGGUCAGUAACUAGAAAGGUGACUGCUUGGGAAUACCAGAUGCUGUAAGC
Acanthosepion pharaonis is the source of this 115-nucleotide non-coding RNA. The record is from the annotation of a GenBank genome assembly. Lineage: Eukaryota; Metazoa; Mollusca; Cephalopoda; Sepiida; Sepiidae.